Molecule: unclassified non-coding RNA, 358 nt
Filed under: uncultured Gammaproteobacteria bacterium
Lineage: Bacteria; Pseudomonadati; Pseudomonadota; Gammaproteobacteria
Description: contains 16S-23S intergenic spacer region
Rfam family: Bacterial small subunit ribosomal RNA
Source: RNAcentral
UCCUGUGCCGGAGCUAACGCAUUAAGUGACCCGCCUGGGGAGUACGGCCGCAAGGCUAAAACUCAAAGGAAUUGACGGGGACCCGCACAAGCGGUGGAUUAUGUGGAUUAAUUCGAUGCAACGCGAAAAACCUUACCUACCCUUGACAUGCCAGGAACCUCGCAGAGAUGUGAGGGUGCCCGAAAGGGAACCUGGACACAGGUGCUGCAUGGCUGUCGUCAGCUCGUGUCGUGAGAUGUUGGGUUAAGUCCCGCAACGAGCGCAACCCUUGCCAUUAGUUGCUACAUUUAGUUGAGCACUCUAAUGGGACUGCCGGUGACAAACCGGAGGAAGGUGGGGAUGACGUGUCGUUACCUUA